UAAUCGGCCCUUUUCAGGGCCAUAAACAUCUUCCGAACGUUGGAA
This is a non-coding RNA of Lasius niger, 45 nucleotides long. The record is from Rfam. Lineage: Eukaryota; Metazoa; Arthropoda; Insecta; Hymenoptera; Formicidae.